GAUGAACGCUGCGGCGUGCCUAAUCCAUGCAAGUCGAGCGAACAGACGAGGAGCUUGCUCCUCUGACGUUAGCGGCGGACGGGUGAGUAACACGUGGAUAACCUACCUAUAAGACUGGGAUAACUUCGGGAAACCGGAGCUAAUACCGGAUAAUAUAUUGAACCGCAUGGUUCAAUAGUGAAAGACGGUUUUGCUGUCACUUAUAGAUGGAUCCGCGCCGCAUUAGCUAGUUGGUAAGGUAACGGCUUACCAAGGCGACGAUGCGUAGCCGACCUGAGAGGGUGAACGGCCACACUGGAACUGAGACACGGUCCAGACUACUACGGGAGGCAGCAGUAGGGAAUCUUCCGCAAUGGGCGAAAGCAUGACGGAGCAACGCCGCGUGAGUGAUGAAGGUCUUCGGAUCGUAAAACUCUGUUAUUAGGGAAGAACAAAUGUGUAAGUAACUAUGCACGUCUUGACGGUACCUAAUCAGAAAGACACGGCUAACUACGUG
RNAcentral lists this ribosomal RNA (496 nucleotides) under uncultured bacterium. RNAcentral describes it as "partial 16S ribosomal RNA". It matches the Rfam family "Bacterial small subunit ribosomal RNA", at positions 28 to 507 of the family's 1533-position model. The record is from RNAcentral.